RNAcentral lists this ribosomal RNA (1332 nucleotides) under uncultured bacterium. Its description in RNAcentral is "bacterial SSU rRNA". It matches the Rfam family "Bacterial small subunit ribosomal RNA", at positions 49 to 1395 of the family's 1533-position model. The record is from RNAcentral.
UAACACAUGCAAGUCGAACGGAAAGGCCCUGCUUUUGUGGGGUGCUCGAGUGGCGAACGGGUGAGUAACACGUGAGUAACCUGCCCUUGACUUUGGGAUAACUUCAGGAAACUGGGGCUAAUACCGGAUAGGAGCUCCUGCUGCAUGGUGGGGGUUGGAAAGUUUCGGCGGUUGGGGAUGGACUCGCGGCUUAUCAGCUUGUUGGUGGGGUAGUGGCUUACCAAGGCUUUGACGGGUAGCCGGCCUGAGAGGGUGACCGGCCACAUUGGGACUGAGAUACGGCCCAGACUCCUACGGGAGGCAGCAGUGGGGAAUAUUGCACAAUGGGCGGAAGCCUGCUGCAGCAACGCCGCGUGCGGGAUGACGGCCUUCGGGUUGUAAACCGCUUUCGCCUGUGACGAAGCGUGAGUGACGGUAAUGGGUAAAGAAGCACCGGCUAACUACGUGCCAGCAGCCGCGGUGAUACGUAGGGUGCGAGCGUUGUCCGGAUUUAUUGGGCGUAAAGGGCUCGUAGGUGGUUGAUCGCGUCGGAAGUGUAAUCUUGGGGCUUAACCCUGAGCGUGCUUUCGAUACGGGUUGACUUGAGGAAGGUAGGGGAGAAUGGAAUUCCUGGUGGAGCGGUGGAAUGCGCAGAUAUCAGGAGGAACACCAGUGGCGAAGGCGGUUCUCUGGGCCUUUCCUGACGCUGAGGAGCGAAAGCGUGGGGAGCGAACAGGCUUAGAUACCCUGGUAGUCCACGCUGUAAACGGUGGGUACUAGGUGUGGGGUCAUUCCACGGGUUCCGUGCCGUAGCUACGCUUCAAGUACCCCGCUGGGGAGUACGGCGCAGGCUAAACUCAAAGGAAUUGACGGGGCCCGCACAAGCGGCGGAGCAUGCGGAUUAAUUCGAUGCAACGCGUAGAACCUUACCUGGGUUUGACAUGGAUCGGAAGUGCUCAGAGAUGGGUGUGCCUCUUUUGGGGUCGGUUCACAGGUGGUGCAUGGCUGUCGUCAGCUCGUGUCGUGAGAUGUUGGGUUAAGUCCCGCAACGAGCGCAACCCUUGUUCACUGUUGCCAGCACGUUAUGGUGGGGACUCAGUGGAGACCGCCGGGGUCAACUCGGAGGAAGGUGGGGAUGACGUCAAGUCAUCAUGCCCCUUAUGUCCAGGGCUUCACGCAUGCUACAAUGGCUGGUACAGAGAGUGGCGAGCCUGUGAGGGUGAGCGAAUCUCGGAAAGCCGGUCUCAGUUCGGAUUGGGGUCUGCAACUCGACCUCAUGAAGUCGGAGUCGCUAGUAAUCGCAGAUCAGCAACGCUGCGGUGAAUACGUUCCCGGGCCUUGUACACACCGCCC